Ochotona princeps (American pika) is the source of this 69-nucleotide microRNA precursor. The record is from Ensembl. Lineage: Eukaryota; Metazoa; Chordata; Mammalia; Lagomorpha; Ochotonidae.
GCUGGUGAGCAUCCUGGGCCUGGUUAAUGCCAAAUUUGUGUUAACUAUACCAGUAUGUUAGCAUAGUUG